Long non-coding RNA from Bubalus bubalis (water buffalo), 1057 nucleotides. RefSeq lists it as uncharacterized. The transcript has 4 exons. The record is from RefSeq and is a predicted model, not a curated record. Lineage: Eukaryota; Metazoa; Chordata; Mammalia; Artiodactyla; Bovidae.
GAGUCCAGAUGUGAGAGGCCGAUGGGCCCCCUUCCCCGCUUCCAACCCCUUGCUGGUCUUUCCCCUUUCCUGAGCAGGCGCAUUCACCUCCACCCUCUCCUACCGUCCCCUCCACGUGUCUCCUUCCGCACAUUCCUCUCCCAGGGAAGGGCAUGGAUUCGCAGAUUGCGCUCCCCCCAUUCUUCAGUCUCUUAGCCAAUUUCUGAGAUGAUCACACAGACCGAGCACCUUCAGACACCAGGCAAGACAAAACCUGCAGGAUCCUCCUGUUCCUGAAGGUCUGUAUAGAAACACAGUCACGAGGAGCCAGCUUCCGCUAUGCAGGCGAGGGCACCACCAAAACAUUACGUCAAAACAACACGAGGCCCCACCAGAACUGCUUCUCUCCUCCCAGACCCCUACCAGCUCAGACUUGCACAAAUACCUGCUGGAAAGUGAUUCUGGCAUGGAUUCUGGAGUUGGCUCAAGCCCUGACUCUGUCCCGUAUUGGCCACAUGAUCUUGUGAAAUCCAUUCCCCCAGCCUGGAAAUGUGGGCACUUUAUAGAAAAUCUUUAGCUUGUACCAGCACAAAUGGAUGGGUCUUAUUUCCUGUCUGCAGUUCAUGGUGUUGCAAAGGCAUUGCCAAAAACUAUUGACUGAGACAUAAAAGCAAAAAAUGGAUGGACAUGAACGUGGCCUCGUUCACAUGUACAUUUACAAACACACAGACACGAACAUGAUCAUGUCUACACUUACAGGAAGAGACUCCGCAAAGGGACCUUCUAAUUCAUAGCCUUACUUCCUGCCCCUGCCCGUGCCUAGUACCUGCCUUAGAUCUGGAGGAGAGGUAGAGAGGAGGUUAGACCAGGGGAUAGGAUCUGAGGGACUGGGAAAGAUCCCCAGUAGGUCUCCCUGAUCUCUGUGUCAUGAUGCUGGAAACAGCAUUCUUAAAGAUCCAUCCAUGAUGUCCUUUGAAAAAUAGAAGACUUCCCUGGUGGUCUGGUGGUUAAGAAUCUGCCUGCCAAUGCACGGGACACAGGUUCAAUUUCUGGUCCAGAAAGAUCACAGGGCAACUAA